UCGCCGGUAGUGUGAUCGUGUAGUAACCGAACGCCUCGUCUCUUCGUGGAAAGUCCGCGGGGUGGUGGCACGGGGGGGGGGCAGAUGUAUGUAUAACGUAAGCGUGUAUGUCACGGGCAGUCACGAUCGCGGACGCGGCCUCAUCUUUCUCCCGCGGCCCGCCCUCCGUGCAGGGCUGCCUCAACCAUUAGGCUAAAUGGACUAUAAUUUCUGGGCGCGCCGUGAUUUUUCGAUUGUGUAUUUUGCUGGAAGCAUUAAUUCUCGCUUUAUCUAAAAGAGAGAUAUCCCGCUGAUCGGCGGGAUUUUGUGCCCUCCACUGUCUCUCAAUCGCGUUGUACCGUAGAGCCUAUCACGGUGAAAUAUUUUGUUAAAACGGGUGGUCGCCUUUUUUAACAAAAUGCGCGUUUUGCAUCCUGCUACUAAUAUAGUAUUACAUCGCUAAACGGCUUCAUGAAGAGUUAAUGCGAUUCCACUCCCAUGUUGUUCUCUCCUUGAGAUUCGCGAAAUGCAUUUGUAUCAAAGAUGCACCCAGUCCUGACUUCCUUGAAGUCCGCGGUUUAUUAUACACACGCGCGAGUAUACGUGCACACGUGAAUGCCUAUGCGAGCUGAGGUUUAAGGUGUUAUGUUACCCGAGUCAAAAGUCCAACUACCGAGUUAUCAUAGAUAAAAGCAUGGUUGCAUGUUGGAUGCUUAGGACACGUUGCAGCCGUGCGAUACUCUGGCCCUGCGUUCAAAUCAGGAUGAAAUUCCAACGUGAUGUACAUCAAAUAGAUUCGUUUUUAUUGAGAAGAAGAGAAACGGCUCGGAUAACCAUAACAAGAUGCUUAAAUUGUAACUUAAAAGGAUCGUGAAAGUUGCGGUGGAAAGAUGGUUAAACAGAUAUAAUGAUGCGGUCCGGAUAAUGGGAUAAAGUAUCAAAUAUUAUCAGGAUGAGAGACGAGGAGGAAGCUGCAUCACGCAGUUCGGUACGAAAUACCACGUCGGCAAAUAAUGGAUAUAUUGCCUGGGCGGAAUGAUUACUACUUGCGAAUGACGGCAAUUUCUUUCGCGGUUAUGUGUACCCGUCGCCUGAUGACGGGUUUUUUCGUCGCCAAGAACGCGGAUUUCCUGUUGCUCGUCGCGCUAUUAAUGACUCUCUGUCCAUUUUUCGAGAAGCGACGAAAUCGCAGAUGAAGCCGCGGCGAAUAGUCGAUGGAUCGAAGGAGGCUGUCGCACGCGAGAUUAGAGCGACUGCACGAUUGAUUCAAAACGUGAGAAUUUAGCGGAGAUAGCUGACUAGACAAGGGAACACGACUGAUCCGAAGCCAUCAAUUUGGGAGGAACUUUGUAAACAGACAAAGAGUGACUCAAGACAUGAAUAAUGGUAUGCUUUAUUCGUGGCCAAUUGCCCUUUAAAGAGGUGCGACAUCUAACCUCUCAGGAUCAAAGGAGCAGUACACCAAUCUUUUUCUGAUGUAAUGAAUAAGAAAAGAGAAUUGAAUUUGAAAUAAAAGUCAAAUUUCAGACAG
Molecule: long non-coding RNA, 1510 nt
Organism: Pogonomyrmex barbatus (red harvester ant)
Lineage: Eukaryota; Metazoa; Arthropoda; Insecta; Hymenoptera; Formicidae
Source: RefSeq, a predicted model, not a curated record